UCGUCGGUUAAAUUUCCUCGAUUUUUUUAAUGUUUUUUUCUAUUAUAGUAACAUUUUAGGUUUAAAAUAUUCUAUCAGAAUGUCGAGCGCGUUACAGAGCACUAUAUCGUACAUAAUUCAGCUCGGAUUUAUUCUCAGAUUCGUAAUAAACGGGGUCCUGUAGUACGGAGUCAUAACUGUUUUUUUGUGAUCCUUCAGAGAGAAGUGCAACGGAGAAAUGUCAUUGAUGCGGAUUCUUAGCUCUUAUCUUGAACGUCAUAUCUUUAGUGUUAUUAGUGCGCGUUCACCGUUAAAAUGUGUUCGAUUCUUGUGCUCUAAAUUCUCAGUUUUAGUGCGAGAAAAUGCUGUUUUUCCACUCCGAUCCCAACGCGCUCCAGCCGUGGACUGCAGGACUCAUCUUGUUCCAAAUCUCUCCGUUUUCAUGCCAAACUGCUCAUCAUGUUUUCAAGCGCAGCGUUUCGUUAGUGUAGGCUGCAUAAUCGGCAGACUGUAAAUAUUUUCCUAAUCAUCGAUAACUAUUCAAAGUAACAAUCACCAAAUCACUCGUUGAAAACCUGUCUUUUUCCUUAUGAAAAUGCUCAUCAUGUUUUCAAGCCCAGCAUUUCGCUAAUGUAUGCUGCAUAAUCGGCAGAUUGUUAAUCAUUUUAUGAAUCAUCACACAUUGAAAACCUGUCUUUUUCCGUAUGAAAAUGCUCACCAUGUUUUCAAGCCCAGCAUUUCGCUAAUGUAAGCUGCAUAGUUGGCGAAUUGUAGAAGAUCCAGCAAUCAUGAUAUGUGAAUUCAAAUCUUCAAUGUAAUGUGUUAAACUUGUCUACGUCUAGUGAUGCUCAAUGUUGUUUAUCUAAUGAUUAGUUUCUGUCACAUCACCUAGCAAGAGUGUGUCACCAUUGCCCUCGAUUUUGUUGUAAAAUGAAAAUAAAAUUUUAUCAAUUAAAGCCUUCUAAAAUCUUG
Molecule: non-coding RNA, 951 nt
Organism: Bemisia tabaci
Lineage: Eukaryota; Metazoa; Arthropoda; Insecta; Hemiptera; Aleyrodidae
Source: RefSeq, a predicted model, not a curated record